UUUCCCUGUAGAGCCAAAAGCCAGAACAAGUCGAGGCCACUGCUAUUGCCCAACACACACCGUUGUCCCCAGCUCCACCCCAGAACAGCCCAAAUUCCCCAGAUUGCUGUGAAGAGAGUCAGCCUGUGCUCAGAGGCAUUGAGCAAUGUGGAGCCUCCCAGGGUCCCUGCCCCUGCACCCGAAAACAGCCAAGAGGCCUGAGCAUCCGGGCUCAGAUCGGAAGGCGUUUCAGGGAGGACGGCUCUUUCCUUUUGGUCAGGUGCCUCAGCGUGGAUUCCCAGGACUUUAUAAGAUGAUGCACUGAAGGAUUUCAGCAAGAAAAUUCUGGAGUGUCAACUGAUACGUUUUUCAGUCUCACCUUGCUCACUGUUUGAGUAUUGUCACAUACACAUGCGUAUUAUUAGAGGUGAAUGCAUGAAGUUUUUGUUACUGAGAGAGUGGCCCUAGACCAGAUGCCAGUGAACUGCAGCCCACGGCCCGAAUCUAGCCUGCUGCCUCUUUUCAUAUGGCUCACAAGCUAGUCCUAGUAUUAUAUUUUAAUAGUGUGGGAAAACAUCAAAAGAAGAACAAAUUUUGUGGAACAUGAAAAUGAUGUGUUUAAAUUUUAGUAUCCAUAAACGUGGUUUCAUUAGAACACACUUCUGUGGUUUGAAUGUCCCCUCCAAAACUCAUGUUGAAACUUAGUUCCCAGCGUCACUAUAUUGAGAGAUAGGGCCUUUAACAGGUGAUUGGGGUAUGGGAAAUCUGCCCUCAUGAAUGGAUUAAUCUAUUCAUGGGUUAAUGGAUUAAUGCAUUAAGGGAUUGGUGGGUUAUCAUGGCAGGGAAACUAGCAGCUUUGUAAGAAGAGGAAGGGAGACCUGAGCCCUCUCACCACGGGUUGCCCUGCACCACCACAGGACUCUGCAGAGAGUCCCCGCCAGCAAGAGGAUCUUCACCAGAUGUGGCCUCUUGACCUGAGACUUCUCAGCCUCCAUAACUGUAAGAAAUAAAUUCCUUUUCCUUAUAAAUGACCCAGUUUUAGGCAUUCUGUUUUAAGCAACAGAAAAUGAACUAAGACAAUGCUCAUGCCCAUUCACUACAUAUUAUCCAUGGCUGUUGCCUGCAUUUUGAUGGCAGAGUUGAGCAGUUGCAACAAAGACCAAAUGGGCCAGUAAAAGCUGAAAAUAUUUACUAUCUGGCUCUUACGGAAAACACUCGCCAACCCCUGCCCUAGUCAUUGGCUUCAUUUCCUGGGAUGAUAGUUUUGUACUUAUCCAACUUUGUGGAUAGCAUUUCUUUUUUUUUUUUUUUUUUUUGAG
Molecule: long non-coding RNA, 1298 nt
Organism: Cercocebus atys (sooty mangabey)
Lineage: Eukaryota; Metazoa; Chordata; Mammalia; Primates; Cercopithecidae
Source: Ensembl